This 418-nucleotide long non-coding RNA is filed under the name Setaria italica (foxtail millet). Its description in RNAcentral is "long non-coding RNA (SITA_LNC003932)". Lineage: Eukaryota; Viridiplantae; Streptophyta; Magnoliopsida; Poales; Poaceae. The record is from RNAcentral.
UGGGGGUGACCGUCUUGUCGAACAGGUGCUCCCGCGCGGCGGCCGCCGCAGCCGCCGGAGAGGGAGACGGGGAGGAGUGGGCGUUGGCGAGCGCCGAGGUCGUCGGCGCGGACGCGGCGGCGGCGAAGGCGCGCUUGUUCUGGGCGAGCUCGUCGAAGUAGGUGUGCUUUCGGAGCAUGUCGACGACCUCGGCCUUGGAGCGUGACACGAGGAAGCGGAGCUCGGCGGCGGCGUCCGGGUCGGCGUCCGCGAGCGGGCGGAAGUUGGUGACGGCGUCGCGGCCGCGGAACCGCUGCGCGGCGACGUCGUAGGCGCGCGCGGCGUCGGUCUCCCCCGCGAAGGUGCCGAGCCACACGCGCUGGUGGCGCUCGUAGAUCUGCGCGCCCCACCGCCCGUUGGGCUGCGGCACCACGCCCUU